Parus major (Great Tit) is the source of this 293-nucleotide long non-coding RNA. RefSeq lists it as uncharacterized. The transcript is spliced from 2 exons. NCBI's taxonomy places the organism in Eukaryota, Metazoa, Chordata, Aves, Passeriformes, Paridae. The record is from RefSeq and is a predicted model, not a curated record.
UCCCUGACCAUCAUGUCUCGUUCCUUCCCCCCAGCCUUUGUGCGACACAUCUUGUCAGGGUGACGCCGCAGGGAGCUGGUCCGGAUGGUGCUGAGCGGCUGAAGACCCCUCCCCAUCAUUCUGUGCCCCCCACCCCUCGCAUCUUCUGUCCCCUCCUUGCUCAGUUUUGUGCCUUUUCCCCUCAUUUCCGCCACCACGGCCCCCCCAGAACCCCCCCAAUUCAGCCCCACCGGCUAAAUUAUUGCUCCACAGCAUCCAAUAAAAUCUGGGAAUGGUCACUGUGGCCCCCCCAA